This 2612-nucleotide long non-coding RNA is filed under the name Monomorium pharaonis (pharaoh ant). Its description in RNAcentral is "uncharacterized LOC105831904". The record is from RNAcentral. Lineage: Eukaryota; Metazoa; Arthropoda; Insecta; Hymenoptera; Formicidae.
CAGAAUCCCUCCCGGAUUACGGGGAGGGGGGAAUCACCCUCGAGACGGUCAACCCCCCUGAGAGCCGGGCCCUGCGCGGGGUUCGACCCUGCAUUAUCGGUCGAAAAACGUCUUUUUUAUUCUCUCUCUCUCUCUCUCUCUCUCUCUCUCUCUCUCUCUCUCUCUCUCUCUCUCUUACUCUUUCCUUCUCCUUCUCCCUCUCGCUCUACGUCCCCCUGUACCUUGCCGCUUUCCACCACCACCCUACCGCUACCACUAGCAGCAGCACUCCACCAUCAUGCCGCGUACGUCGCUAUGGAGGAGAGGAUCACCUCCCGUGAUCCGUGCCGCGCUUUUUCCUACCCCUUCGUUCUCUCCCCCUCGGCAAAUUGAUCUCGAAUUCCAUCUCCCCCUCCCGCCUCUCCCGGCGACGACGCUCCGCGGAGAACGAGCCUCAGAAAAGGAGUAUCGGAUCUCGCUCUGUCUCUCCCAUGGCUUCUGGCUUUUACUCCAUUUCUCGGCGCCCUGGCGCCGCUGUGUGCACAUUGCCGCUGGCGGCGCGCCGCCGCCAUGUGCUCGCGCGCCGAUCGCAGCGCGCGAUCGGCCGAUGAUGCGGACGGAUGCCGGCUGAUUUGUCGUUCAUGCCGUUCGUGGCAUUCAUGUCGGGAUUAGUCAUCGCACGAGGAUCCCGGAUGAAUCCAUUCCGCCUUUUCCUGUGUCUCGUUUUAGGAGACGCGCGAGACGCUUAUAACCGUGGGAACGUGGUUCUUAAUCGAGAGCGGGUCCGUUCUUUUCGGACGCUGGAGAGAGAGAAGGUUUUCCUUCCAAUGCGUCUGAUUAUCAGCUGUCUGAUCCUCGUCGGAAUUCGUUAGAAGUUACAUGGGUCUAAUCGUUGUUAGUAAAAUAUACAGUACGAGAUCUCUGUUGCCAGAUAAAAAGAGCUGUUUCUAAAGCGACCGAGGAAAAGCGUUACAAUCCUGAUCGAUUCUUUUAAUUGAAAUAUCGAUACGCGACAAUGCUGCGGGAACCACGUGUAUUAUACUUCAAAGGACUGUGAGCUGAAAAAACUGGCAAGGCAAGAAUGUUCGAGCAGACUGAUGUCGAUUGAGAAAUUUUUCUCUUUUCUAUUAUUACUUAUUCCCUGUUAUAGCCUUGCUAUUACGAGUCCAACUGACGGCAGAAACAAUUCAGCAUGAGCAAUUGUUCGUCAUGCGCAAAAAAAAGUGUUCGCCAUCUUCUAGAGUUCUAGAUGAUUCUCUUCGCUACAUAGAUGGCGCGAUUGGUCGCCCAUUGAAUGCCAUUCGACUGUUGUUUCUUUUGUCGCAAUCGAUUGACUUCAACGAUUGAAUUAACAUGUUGAUCGCCCAAAUUCAAAACAAUCGACAAACAAGAUAGAACUCGAUUGUUAUAAGCCACGCAAUCCUUAGAGAGAGAGAAAGAAACGAAGCUAUCGUUAACCAGAACAGAAAUCAACUCUGCACAUCCUUUUUUCCUCCUUUGUGCCUCUUUAUGGUUCUUUUUAGCAUUCUGUACCUUGGCUGGAAUCUUUUAGAACUGGCCAUGAAGGACUAAAACGCUUAAAGUCGCGAUAUUCUGUCGUAUGAAUAAUAUAAAUCUAUGAAUAUAUAAAUACACAAUUGCAUAUGUAAUAUUUAAGAUUAGUUCAUGAUAAGACAUACAAGGAACAUGAAUAUGGAAACGAUCAAACUAUAUAGACAAAAAUUAGCUGUAUAAUGAUUAUAAUAUAACAUAAUAUUAUUAUUUUACAUAUAUAUCCAAAUACAUUAGUUUUAAAAGUAUAAUAGACACGUGAAUUCCAAUAUGAAUAUUCAUUUUUUAUCUAACGACUUCUAAAUUGGUACUUAUUCUAAUCUCCAGUAUUACACUCUAUUAACUAGAUGCAGCAUUUGACAUGAUAUUCGAAGAUUUUUGUGGAAUAAGCAAAAAUUAUUUUACAUAUUAAAUGGAAUAAAAUAAAUAAUAUAUUUUAUAUUUAUAUAAAAUAUAAUAAUUAUGUACAAUAAACAAUGAAUUAUAUAAUUAUAUUUAUUACAUAAUAUAUAAUAUCAUUUUAUAUGUAAAGAAAUUAUUAAAUAUCUUGAAAACUAUGUGUACACUGCAUGCUCAAAUGCUGCUCUCGUAUCUCUCUCUCACAAACAUUUAUCUCUUCUAGAUUUAAAUUUUAUUUUCUCUACCUCUUUUAUCUCUACUUCUAACAGAAAUUUUUUUAAACAUUUGCCAUCGGUCAUAGAGAUUUGUCACUAACCACUGAGCCAGUAAUCGAUGUUCUUUUUUCUUCUGUAUCGCAUUUUCUACUUUUUUUUCCAACGCUCGUUUUUUUUAAUGCCCUUUUUCAAUGAUUUCUCAUGAUUUCUGUGAACCGUAAGUGUAUCUACGAUUCAGCGAUAUCUACAAAUGGGAACAUCACGCAAAUAGUUUUUCAUAAAAAUAUCAAUGUAAAAAAAUCGGGAGCGCAAAACAUCGCUUUAACUUGUAAUCUUAAAUAACCUUUUAAGACAAAUUGGUAUCUGAAAGUGUUACAUAGUAAUAUUAUCAACCUGAUAGUAAAUUGUAACAUUUCAUCUGCUUUAUCAAACUCCCUUUUAAACAGUCUUGUUAUUUAAAAAAAAAAA